CCUACGGGCGGCAGUGAGGAAUAUUGGUCAAUGGCCGAGAGGCUGAACCAGCCAAGUCGCGUGAGGGAAGAAUGUCCUAUGGAUUGUAAACCUCUUUUGUCAGGGAGCAAAGUCACCCACGUGUGGGUGUUGGAGAGUACCUGAAGAAAAAGCAUCGGCUAACUCCGUGCCAGCAGCCGCGGUAAUACGGAGGAUGCGAGCGUUAUACGGAUUUAUUGGGUUUAAAGGGUGCGUAGGCGGGUUAUCAAGUCAGCGGUAAAAUCGAGGCGCUAAACCCCAUCCAGCCGUUGAAACUGAUGAUCGUGAGUUGGAGAGAAGUAUGAGGAAUGCGAGGUGUAGCGGUGAAAUGCAUAGAUAUCGCGCAGAACUCCGAUUGCGAAGGCAGCA
Molecule: ribosomal RNA, 387 nt
Filed under: uncultured bacterium
Lineage: Bacteria
Description: partial 16S ribosomal RNA
Rfam family: Bacterial small subunit ribosomal RNA
Source: RNAcentral